Molecule: ribosomal RNA, 494 nt
Filed under: Achromobacter sp. Hu89B
Lineage: Bacteria; Pseudomonadati; Pseudomonadota; Betaproteobacteria; Burkholderiales; Alcaligenaceae
Description: bacterial SSU rRNA
Rfam family: Bacterial small subunit ribosomal RNA
Source: RNAcentral
UAAAGGGGGGAGCUUACCAUGCAAGUCGAACGGCAGCACGGACUUCGGUCUGGUGGCGAGUGGCGAACGGGUGAGUAAUGUAUCGGAACGUGCCCAGUAGCGGGGGAUAACUACGCGAAAGCGUAGCUAAUACCGCAUACGCCCUACGGGGGAAAGCAGGGGAUCGCAAGACCUUGCACUAUUGGAGCGGCCGAUAUCGGAUUAGCUAGUUGGUGGGGUAACGGCUCACCAAGGCGACGAUCCGUAGCUGGUUUGAGAGGACGACCAGCCACACUGGGACUGAGACACGGCCCAGACUCCUACGGGAGGCAGCAGUGGGGAAUUUUGGACAAUGGGGGAAACCCUGAUCCAGCCAUCCCGCGUGUGCGAUGAAGGCCUUCGGGUUGUAAAGCACUUUUGGCAGGAAAGAAACGUCGCGGGUUAAUACCCCGCGAAACUGACGGUACCUGCAGAAUAAGCACCGGCUAACUACGUGCCAGCAGCGGCCGGUAAUA